RNAcentral lists this ribosomal RNA (383 nucleotides) under uncultured bacterium. RNAcentral's name for it is "bacterial SSU rRNA". It matches the Rfam family "Bacterial small subunit ribosomal RNA", at positions 30 to 417 of the family's 1533-position model. The record is from RNAcentral.
AUUGAACGCUGGCGGCAUGCCUUACACAUGCAAGUCGAACGGCAGCGCGGGGCAACCUGGCGGCGAGUGGCGAACGGGUGAGUAAUAUAUCGGAACGUACCCUGGAGUGGGGAUAACGUAGCGAAAGUUACGCUAAUACCGCAUACGAUCUAAGGAUGAAAGCAGGGGACCGCAAGGCCUUGUGCUCCUGGAGCGGCCGAUAUCUGAUUAGCUAGUUGGUGGGGAAAGGCCUACCGAGGCAUCGAUCAGUAGCUGGUCUGAGAGGACGACCAGCCACACUGGAACUGAGACACGGUCCAGACUCCUACGGGAGGCAGCAGUGGGGAAUUUUGGACAAUGGGCGCAAGCCUGAUCCAGCAAUGCCGCGUGAGUGAAGAAGGCCU